This 102-nucleotide Y RNA is filed under the name Propithecus coquereli (Coquerel's sifaka). RNAcentral's name for it is "Y RNA (ENSPCOG00000011530.1)". It matches the Rfam family "Y RNA". From Rfam's summary of the family: Y RNAs are components of the Ro ribonucleoprotein particle (Ro RNP), in association with Ro60 and La proteins. The record is from Rfam by way of RNAcentral. Lineage: Eukaryota; Metazoa; Chordata; Mammalia; Primates; Indriidae.
GGUUGGUCCGAGUGCAGUGGUGUUUACAACUAAUUGAUAACAACCAGUUAUAGAUUCCUUUGUUCCUUCUCCACUCCCACUGCUUCACUUGACAGGACAGGA